Molecule: long non-coding RNA, 999 nt
Organism: Venturia canescens
Lineage: Eukaryota; Metazoa; Arthropoda; Insecta; Hymenoptera; Ichneumonidae
Exons: 3
Source: RefSeq, a predicted model, not a curated record
UAGCGACACAAGGAACACGUUUUUUUUUGGGAAAACACAACAAUGGAAACGAAUACAAUAUUAUCUCAGCACAACAACGCGGAAGCUAUUAUUUUUCAUUCUGCACGUUUCACUCGACGAAUAACGACUGGAAAAUUCAAAAAGUUUGAUAAAAAGUGAAGUUAUGAAUUUUUUCGAUUCUCGAUAGUUCUUUCAUUUUUCCUCAUUUAUAAGAGUUUUUCAAAAACGAAACUUGUUCUCUGGUUCAAAAAUCCACAUCCCAGAAUGUUUUCGACUCGGUUAAACGAACUCUAACUGUAUGGGAAUCGUGAGAAAAUCGUUCGAGUCAUUUCCACCCAAGGAAGUCGUAAACGGUGAUGGAACAGUGGGACGAGCGAGUGUUAAAGAGGGGCAGCGGGAGGAGAGGGAUAUGAAUCAAGAGCCGAGGCAGUAUGGCGAAGGCCGUUCGACGCAACUGACGCAACUGUAUCGGGGCGCCACGAAUCUCCACUGAGUUAGCCCCCCCAUAUUUGCAUUUUUUUUUAGACAAAUUUCUUGGAGGUCGUACAGUGGUUCGUGGUGGCGCAAUUAAAUCGUUCAGUGAUUUCUUGAUUAUCAUACAGUGGUCAAUGGUGGCGCCAUUAAAUUCUUCAGUGCUCAUAUGGUAGGGUGGAGAUUGUCCGAGUCAACAUGACGUGCAACUACUAAAAAAACGAGAGUCGGCUAGUGACUUUCAGCCGAGCGAAGAUAGUGAAAACGCCAUUUUUGGACAAUGCAGUGCCUACCAACACUUUUAAUUAUACUAAUAUUUAAUCCCAAAUGAUUUCUGAUCGUUUAAAAAAAAAACGAUUUUUCAAGUUCAAGGCUAAGAUCUGCCAACUAUACACCAAUUAAUUUUUAUUAAUGAUUUAUUAACUAUUCUUUCGAAGUCUAUUUCAAUAACUUCGAAAACUUGCGAAAACAAUUCGAUAAUCAUUUGAACAAAAAAAUAAAAGUUUCAUCAUUUUCGUCUGCCAAAUA